RNAcentral lists this small nuclear RNA (97 nucleotides) under Catagonus wagneri (Chacoan peccary). The record is from RNAcentral. Lineage: Eukaryota; Metazoa; Chordata; Mammalia; Artiodactyla; Tayassuidae.
GUGCUCUUUUCACGUAUACUAAAAUUGGAGCUAUACAGAGAACAUUAGCAUGGCGCCUGGACAAAAGAUGAAAAUGCGUGAAGUGGUCCAUAUUUUU